This 430-nucleotide ribosomal RNA is filed under the name uncultured bacterium. RNAcentral's name for it is "bacterial SSU rRNA". It matches the Rfam family "Bacterial small subunit ribosomal RNA", at positions 346 to 793 of the family's 1533-position model. The record is from RNAcentral.
AGGCAGCAGUGGGGAAUAUUGGACAAUGGGCGAAAGCCUGAUCCAGCCAUGCCGCGUGAGUGAUGAAGGCCCUAGGGUUGUAAAGCUCUUUCAACGGUGAAGAUAAUGACGGUAACCGUAGAAGAAGCCCCGGCUAACUUCGUGCCAGCAGCCGCGGUAAUACGAAGGGGGCUAGCGUUGUUCGGAAUUACUGGGCGUAAAGCGCACGUAGGCGGAUUGUUAAGUUAGGGGUGAAAUCCCAGGGCUCAACCCUGGAACUGCCUUUAAUACUGGCAAUCUAGAGUCCGAGAGAGGUGAGUGGAAUUCCGAGUGUAGAGGUGAAAUUCGUAGAUAUUCGGAGGAACACCAGUGGCGAAGGCGGCUCACUGGCUCGGUACUGACGCUGAGGUGCGAAAGCGUGGGGAUCAAACAGGAUUAGAUACCCUGGUAG